Molecule: ribosomal RNA, 2925 nt
Filed under: Escherichia coli
Lineage: Bacteria; Pseudomonadati; Pseudomonadota; Gammaproteobacteria; Enterobacterales; Enterobacteriaceae
Description: 23S ribosomal RNA
Rfam family: Bacterial large subunit ribosomal RNA
Source: RNAcentral
GGGUUGUGAGGUUAAGCGACUAAGCGUACACGGUGGAUGCCCUGGCAGUCAGAGGCGAUGAAGGACGUGCUAAUCUGCGAUAAGCGUCGGUGAGGUGAUAUGAACCGUUAUAACCGGCGAUUUCCGAAUGGGGAAACCCAGUGUGUUUCGACACACUAUCAUUAACUGAAUCCAUAGGUUAAUGAGGCGAACCGGGGGAACUGAAACAUCUAAGUACCCCGAGGAAAAGAAAUCAACCGAGAUUCCCCCAGUAGCGGCGAGCGAACGGGGAGGAGCCCAGAGCCUGAAUCAGUGUGUGUGUUAGUGGAAGCGUCUGGAAAGGCGCGCGAUACAGGGUGACAGCCCCGUACACAAAAAUGCACAUAUUGUGAGCUCGAUGAGUAGGGCGGGACACGUGGUAUCCUGUCUGAAUAUGGGGGGACCAUCCUCCAAGGCUAAAUACUCCUGACUGACCGAUAGUGAACCAGUACCGUGAGGGAAAGGCGAAAAGAACCCCGGCGAGGGGAGUGAAAAAGAACCUGAAACCGUGUACGUACAAGCAGUGGGAGCCUCUUUAUGGGGUGACUGCGUACCUUUUGUAUAAUGGGUCAGCGACUUAUAUUCUGUAGCAAGGUUAACCGAAUAGGGGAGCCGAAGGGAAACCGAGUCUUAACUGGGCGUUAAGUUGCAGGGUAUAGACCCGAAACCCGGUGAUCUAGCCAUGGGCAGGUUGAAGGUUGGGUAACACUAACUGGAGGACCGAACCGACUAAUGUUGAAAAAUUAGCGGAUGACUUGUGGCUGGGGGUGAAAGGCCAAUCAAACCGGGAGAUAGCUGGUUCUCCCCGAAAGCUAUUUAGGUAGCGCCUCGUGAAUUCAUCUCCGGGGGUAGAGCACUGUUUCGGCAAGGGGGUCAUCCCGACUUACCAACCCGAUGCAAACUGCGAAUACCGGAGAAUGUUAUCACGGGAGACACACGGCGGGUGCUAACGUCCGUCGUGAAGAGGGAAACAACCCAGACCGCCAGCUAAGGUCCCAAAGUCAUGGUUAAGUGGGAAACGAUGUGGGAAGGCCCAGACAGCCAGGAUGUUGGCUUAGAAGCAGCCAUCAUUUAAAGAAAGCGUAAUAGCUCACUGGUCGAGUCGGCCUGCGCGGAAGAUGUAACGGGGCUAAACCAUGCACCGAAGCUGCGGCAGCGACACUAUGUGUUGUUGGGUAGGGGAGCGUUCUGUAAGCCUGUGAAGGUGGCCUGUGAGGGUUGCUGGAGGUAUCAGAAGUGCGAAUGCUGACAUAAGUAACGAUAAAGCGGGUGAAAAGCCCGCUCGCCGGAAGACCAAGGGUUCCUGUCCAACGUUAAUCGGGGCAGGGUGAGUCGACCCCUAAGGCGAGGCCGAAAGGCGUAGUCGAUGGGAAACAGGUUAAUAUUCCUGUACUUGGUGUUACUGCGAAGGGGGGACGGAGAAGGCUAUGUUGGCCGGGCGACGGUUGUCCCGGUUUAAGCGUGUAGGCUGGUUUUCCAGGCAAAUCCGGAAAACCAAGGCUGAGGCGUGAUGACGAGGCACUACGGUGCUGAAGCGACAAAUGCCCUGCUUCCAGGAAAAGCCUCUAAGCAUCAGGUAACAUCAAAUCGUACCCCAAACCGACACAGGUGGUCAGGUAGAGAAUACCAAGGCGCUUGAGAGAACUCGGGUGAAGGAACUAGGCAAAAUGGUGCCGUAACUUCGGGAGAAGGCACGCUGAUAUGUAGGUGAAGCGACUUGCUCGUGGAGCUGAAAUCAGUCGAAGAUACCAGCUGGCUGCAACUGUUUAUUAAAAACACAGCACUGUGCAAACACGAAAGUGGACGUAUACGGUGUGACGCCUGCCCGGUGCCGGAAGGUUAAUUGAUGGGGUUAGCGGUAACGCGAAGCUCUUGAUCGAAGCCCCGGUAAACGGCGGCCGUAACUAUAACGGUCCUAAGGUAGCGAAAUUCCUUGUCGGGUAAGUUCCGACCUGCACGAAUGGCGUAAUGAUGGCCAGGCUGUCUCCACCCGAGACUCAGUGAAAUUGAAUUCGCUGUGAAGAUGCAGUGUACCCGCGGCAAGACGGAAAGACCCCGUGAACCUUUACUAUAGCUUGACACUGAACAUUGAGCCUUGAUGUGUAGGAUAGGUGGGAGGCUUUGAAGUGUGGACGCCAGUCUGCAUGGAGCCGACCUUGAAAUACCACCCUUUAAUGUUUGAUGUUCUAACGUUGGCCCGUAAUCCGGGUUGCGGACAGUGUCUGGUGGGUAGUUUGACUGGGGCGGUCUCCUCCUAAAGAGUAACGGAGGAGCACGAAGGUUGGCUAAUCCUGGUCGGACAUCAGGAGGUUAGUGCAAUGGCAUAAGCCAGCUUGACUGCGAGCGUGACGGCGCGAGCAGGUGCGAAAGCAGGUCAUAGUGAUCCGGUGGUUCUGAAUGGAAGGGCCAUCGCUCAACGGAUAAAAGGUACUCCGGGGAUAACAGGCUGAUACCGCCCAAGAGUUCAUAUCGACGGCGGUGUUUGGCACCUCGAUGUCGGCUCAUCACAUCCUGGGGCUGAAGUAGGUCCCAAGGGUAUGGCUGUUCGCCAUUUAAAGUGGUACGCGAGCUGGGUUUAGAACGUCGUGAGACAGUUCGGUCCCUAUCUGCCGUGGGCGCUGGAGAACUGAGGGGGGCUGCUCCUAGUACGAGAGGACCGGAGUGGACGCAUCACUGGUGUUCGGGUUGUCAUGCCAAUGGCACUGCCCGGUAGCUAAAUGCGGAAGAGAUAAGUGCUGAAAGCAUCUAAGCACGAAACUUGCCCCGAGAUGAGUUCUCCCUGACUCCUUGAGAGUCCUGAAGGAACGUUGAAGACGACGACGUUGAUAGGCCGGGUGUGUAAGCGCAGCGAUGCGUUGAGCUAACCGGUACUAAUGAACCGUGAGGCUUAACCUUACAACGCCGAAG